CACCCGCGGCAUAUGGAGGUUCCCAGGCUCAGGGUUGAAUUGGAGCUGUAGCCACCGGCCUACACCACAGCCACAUUGAUGCCAGAUCCGAGUCGCAUCUGCAACCUACACCACAGCUCAGGGCAACACCAGAUCCUUAAUCCACUGAGUGAUGCCAGGGAUCAAACACGUGUCCUUAUGGAUACUAGUUGGGUUUGUUAGCCACUGAGCCAGGAUGGGAACUCCGUUUUUUAAUUUUUAGCUUUUUUGAAAACAUUACAUUCCAAUGUGAGCGACCAAAAAAAAAAAAAAAAAAAAAAACCAGUCAUAUUUACAUGUAUUAAAUAUAAGUCAAAAACACAUUUACCAAGCAUUUAGUAAAAUUCAAACAGCAGGCUGGAAACUGAAAUAUGAACAUGGGCAGGUAAACCCUCUGAGCUGCAGGAGCUCAACAGCUAGUGGCUUUCACUCCAGUGGGAACUUUGUUAUGGGAAAAAGCCACUUCUAAUAUUUUAAUUCUGCAUAACCAUGAAGAGUUACUGAUUGUGACUGGGGCCAUGGGCCACUCUCCUGCCUGCACUAGGAUAAAGGCAUGGCUGGGACAAGACAUUACCAAUCCCUGCUAGCCACCUUACCAUCACCUUACACUCUUGGUGACUUUCUCGCUCCAUCUGCUCUUGCAGAAUCACUACUGGGAUUCGGGCUUGUAGGAAUACCUUAUAUAAGUGAAAGGAUCAUAAAUAAGUCCAGUAAUACAGAUCUAGGUUUAAACAGUAAGUCCAUUCCUGAUUAUUCAUUUUACCAAAAGUUUCAUAACUAAUUCCUUUAAGAGGCAAACUCCUCUUCUACAUUUGAAACUAUGAUCUUUUGCAUUAAAUGUUUAUAGUUGACAUACUAAUCCUUAGGAAUACAAGUAUUACAGAGAAGUAUAGUUAUACCUUGGCAGCAGUGAAAACUGCUAUUAAUUCUGUGAAGUGAAAAAAUAAGAAUAUUGGAACUGGGGAUUUCACGAAGAUCAAAAUCUGUAUCAUAGAAACUGAAGCGGUGAAUUACGGCAAAACGAGAAAGGAAAGAGGGAGGGAUUCAUUUGUCAUUUCCUCGAGGAUGGACCCAGGAGAAGGAAAAGGAGACGUAUUUGUCCAUUUCCCUAUUACCACAGGGAAAGCUUUUAGAGUAUAUUGCAUUUUUUAAAUGCCUUUUCCAUUUUCUGUUCAUGAUUGUGUAUAUAGGUAUAUAAAUUAAAAAAAAUACUUUCGGUAAAUAUCACUACCUAAUAUAUAUAAUGCUACUAUAGCCGAUCUCUCUAGCCAUCUACCUAUCACCAUCUAUCAUCUAUCUAUCUAUCUAUCUAUCUAUCUAUCUAUCUAUCUAUCUAUAUCAUUUUUUAUCUAUCAUCUAUCAUCUAUCAAUUUAUCUAUCACCUAUCUAUUUAUCAUCUUUCUAUUGUCUAUCCGUCUAACUAUCUAUCAAUCAUCUAUUUAUAUAGCCAUUCAUCUUUCUAUUCAUCCAGCAUAAAUUCUCUGGAUGAAGAUUAUUACCUUUUAUAAGAAAAUCUCUCAAUUUCUAAUUCUAGGCCACUCUGGAAUUUGGAGUCACAAAAAUCACUCCCAGGAGUGGCUCAGGACCCGACAUGGUCUCUGUAAGGAUGCAGUUUGAUCCCUGGCCUCACUCAGCGGGUUAAGGAUCCAGUUCGCCUCAAGCUACAGCAUAGCUCACAGAGGCCGCUCAGAUCCAGUGUUGCUGUGGCUGUGGUGUCGGCCUGUAGCUGCAGCUGCAAUUCGACCCCUGGCCCAGGAAAUUCUUAUGCCGUAGUUGUGGCCAUAAAGAAAAAAAAAUCACUCCCAAAGUAAAAGAUUACUGUGAGUCGUUUCCCUUUUUCAACAUAUGACACUUCAGGGCACUUCAGCAAAUCAAAUGGCAACAGAGUCCUUGCUACACAAGAGCUACACGAGGCAGUAACCACACACACGCACACGUGCCCGUGCCCCAUCUUCUUAGAGUUCAUCAUCUCCUGAAGCGAGAGAAGCCCAACAUCUGAUCCAGUCGCCCGUCAGAGCUGGAUUCAGGAGGAUGAGCUUCUGCCGCAGGCAUGAAGGGCUCAGGCGGGUUUGGGCCCAGCGGACCUGCAUCCGCUACAUGGCGAGCUGAGCCGCACGCCCCAGACUCAUUAAUCAGUGUGUCAAGAGGUGAACAUUCCUCUCUCUUUUGAGUUUUCCCUUGGUUCUGAGGAAAAUACCGCUGCCUCACUCUCUUCUGGAAUAGCCGUGAGUGGCCCAGUCUUCUAGGUGCUACUGCCCCUUGGGGACAGGCUCUUUAGCACGCGUGGCUCCAGGCCACAGGUGACCAGCCUGGCUCGCGGCCUAACGCCCGUCCAUGGACCACUAACCCCAUGGCCCAGCUGCCCGUGUUGCGGGAGGCCACGAAAUCCCGCAGCACAUCAGUGGACUUCAUCCAGGGUGUGCCACGCACGACCUUGCGAUCCCAGGGAGCUGCAGCAGGGAAGCAGUGAGAGCCGUUCAAACCGAGAGCUUAUCCCUUUUCCCAAGGGAGCAAGAGUCACAGCCCAGGCAGGAUGUCUCUCGGGCCCCCGCAGAGGGCACUGCUGGGUGGUGGGGAAGUAAGAAAAACACACAGGGCCCACCCCAGUGACUGCCACGGACAGGCCUCUGGUCCAGGUGCCUGGGUACCGUGUCCUGAACCUAAGGUCUAAUUUUGGUGGUUUUGUGGCCUGGAGGAGUUUUGGCAGCAAUUACACGUGCUUGGCUCAAAAAUGAAGCAUAUGUCCAGCAGGGCCUGAUAUAAUUUUCUGAUAAAGUUUACAUCCUGAGCAGGGAGCUCAGAUUAAAAAUAUCCUGCAUUGUGUGGUGUCCGGGUGUGACUGCAGCUCAGUGCUGAGCUGGCCCUGACUGGCCUUUGUGCAGGUGCCUGCCAGGCUAUGGCUGGCUGGCUACAGGCACACUGGCUGGCAGUGCAGUUCUCCUUCUUCAAUGAUGCCCUUUUACCUGGAAUACACAGUCGAUGACUAAAAUCAUUAAAUGAUGGGAGUUCCCCUCGUGGCUCGGUGGUUAACGAAUCUGACUAGGAACCAUGAGGUUGCGGGUUCAUCCCUGGCCUCCCUCAGGGUGUUGGGGAUCCGGCAUUGCCGUGAGCUAUGGUGUAGGUAGAAGACACAGCUUGGAUCCGUGUUGCUGUGGCUGUGGUGUAGGCCGGCAGCUGUAGCUCUGAUUCGACCCCUAGCCUGGGAACUUCCAUACGCCACGGGCUCAGCCCCUAAAAAGCAAAAUCAAUCAACCCAUCCAUCAUUACAUGAUGAAAAGCACCAUUUCCCCCAUUUAAAAAGUUUUGUUGAAAUAGAGUUGAUUCACCACGUUGUGGUCAUUUCUGCUGUACCACACACUGAUUCAGUGGUACACACACAGACCCCUUCUUUUUCCGUUUCUUUUCCCAGGGAGGCGGUCACAGAAUAUUGGGCAGAGUUUCCCGUGCUACACAGCACGUCCCUGUUGACCUUCCAUUCCAGACACACUCGUGAAAAAGCACCAGUUUUUGCGUUGCUCGAAUCUGGAUUCAAAUCCCAGCUCCACCACUACGCAAAUGGGUGAAACUGAGCAAGUCACGUCGGCUCUGAGCCUCAGCUUACUCAUCAGUGAAAUGGGAGAAAUAUCACCCUACUCAGGGCCUUCUUUUGAGGAAUAAAUGAGAUCAUGUGUUAAAGCUGCUCGUCAAGGAAAUGAGCAUGACCAGAGUGUAAGGAAUCCUAGUUAUUCCUAUUGGCAAAUCUGUUGCCAAAGCUCCUUUCUGUGAGCUGGGUGCUA
This 3794-nucleotide long non-coding RNA is filed under the name Sus scrofa (pig). Its description in RNAcentral is "lncRNA (ENSSSCG00050051558.1)". Lineage: Eukaryota; Metazoa; Chordata; Mammalia; Artiodactyla; Suidae. The record is from RNAcentral.